AUGGCACAUUAUCAUAGAGUUUCCCAACACUGGACAUUAAGAGGAUCAGGAAUGAGAAUGAAGUUGGACUUCACACUAGCAACACAGUAGGCUAGAAAACGUGGAACAACAUUAUUAUAAUUCAAAGAGAAGAUGAUUUCCAACUUGUAAGUUCUCAAAAAAUAUAUUUCAUAUCCAUCUUUUUCAGGAAGCUACUGGAGAGGUAUCCAUAAAAAUAAGAGAUUAAAUCAAGAAUGAGGAAGCUAUGGAAUCCAGGAAAAGAAGGAAAUGUAAAAAGAACUACAUUGAGAUAAUAUUUUCCCCUGCUUAUCAGAUUGUCAAAGAUUAAAAAGGACAUGCUUCUAGAUGCCGAUUAGCUUUAUGCAGAAACUAC
Kogia breviceps (pygmy sperm whale) is the source of this 373-nucleotide non-coding RNA. The record is from RefSeq and is a predicted model, not a curated record. Lineage: Eukaryota; Metazoa; Chordata; Mammalia; Artiodactyla; Physeteridae.